Molecule: long non-coding RNA, 523 nt
Filed under: Physcomitrium patens
Lineage: Eukaryota; Viridiplantae; Streptophyta; Bryopsida; Funariales; Funariaceae
Description: long non-coding RNA (PPAT_LNC006058)
Source: RNAcentral
CAAAUGUUUAAAGUUGUUAGACAAAUGUUCUUCAAAGAGUUGGCAUUAAAUUGAAUAUCUGAUUCUUUUCAGAGUAAAAAAUAACAGUAGUAAUAGUAAUGCUUAUCACUAGUGUCAUUACUUCAGAACCCUCGACAGUAUGAUAAGUGGUUUGCAUUUUCUUUGAAUUCCCAGGAGUUUAUGUCCGUAAUUAGUAAUUUUGUUUAAUGUGUGAUAAUUGCAACAUUGACGUCACAUGUAACGAUUUUCCAAAUCUUUGAAGAUAUAUCCAGAUAUAUGCAUUGACGUAAUGUUUUGAAUAAAAUGAGAAUACUCUACUAUUACGAAAUCUAUAGCUUGUGGAAAUAUUUUAAUUUCCUAUAAUUGAAAUGACCACUUGGUUCAAAACCAUAGUUUUACUUUGAAUCUGUAAAUCUAUACAAUUUGUGCAUAGUAAAUAUGUAUAUGAAGCUGGGUUUUUACUUUUUACAUUUUCCUGUACAUUUAAAUAAAAAAUCCGGGUUGUAAAAACAGAAUUUUUAAA